This 500-nucleotide ribosomal RNA is filed under the name uncultured cyanobacterium. RNAcentral's name for it is "bacterial SSU rRNA". It matches the Rfam family "Bacterial small subunit ribosomal RNA", at positions 356 to 858 of the family's 1533-position model. Lineage: Bacteria; Bacillati; Cyanobacteriota. The record is from RNAcentral.
GGUUAAUUUUCCGCAAUGGGCGAAAGCCUGACGGAGCAAGACCGCGUGGGGGAAGAAGGCUCUUGGGUUGUAAACCCCUUUUCUCUGGGAAGAAAGUUGUGAAAGCAACCUGACGGUACCAGAGGAAUCAGCAUCGGCUAACUCCGUGCCAGCAGCCGCGGUAAGACGGAGGAUGCAAGCGUUAUCCGGAAUGAUUGGGCGUAAAGCGUCCGCAGGUGGCAGUUCAAGUCUGCUGUCAAAGACCGGGGCUUAACCUCGGAAAGGCAGUGGAAACUGAACAGCUAGAGUAUGGUAGGGGCAAAGGGAAUUCCUGGUGUAGCGGUGAAAUGCGUAGAGAUCAGGAAGAACAUCGGUGGCGAAGGCGCUUUGCUGGACCAUAACUGACACUCAGGGACGAAAGCUAGGGGAGCGAAUGGGAUUAGAUACCCCAGUAGUCCUAGCCGUAAACGAUGGAUACUAGGUGUUGUCUGUAUCGACCCGGACAGUGCCGUAGCUAACGC